RNAcentral lists this ribosomal RNA (761 nucleotides) under uncultured bacterium. RNAcentral describes it as "bacterial SSU rRNA". It matches the Rfam family "Bacterial small subunit ribosomal RNA", at positions 28 to 776 of the family's 1533-position model. The record is from RNAcentral.
GAUGAACGCUAGCUACAGGCUUAACACAUGCAAGUCGAGGGGCAGCAUGAAAGGAACUUCGGUUCUUUUUGAUGGCGACCGGCGCACGGGUGCGUAACGCGUAUCGAACCUGCCUCAUACUCGGGGAUAGCCUUGCGAAAGUAAGAUUAAUACCCGGCGGUCUCGGAUGGCCGCAUGACUGUCCGAGUGAAGAUUUAUCGGUAUGAGAUGGCGAUGCGUCCCAUUAGCUUGUUGGUGGGGUAACGGCUCACCAAGGCAUCGAUGGGUAGGGGUUCUGAGAGGAAGGUCCCCCACAUUGGAACUGAGACACGGUCCAAACUCCUACGGGAGGCAGCAGUGAGGAAUAUUGGUCAAUGGACGAAAGUCUGAACCAGCCAAGUAGCGUGCAGGAUGACGGCCCUCUGGGUUGUAAACUGCUUUUAGUUGGGAAUAAAAAGAGGGACGUGUCCCUUAUUGUAUGUACCAUCAGAAAAAGGACCGGCUAAUUCCGUGCCAGCAGCCGCGGUAAUACGGAAGGUCCAGGCGUUAUCCGGAUUUAUUGGGUUUAAAGGGAGCGCAGGCGGCGGCGUAAGUCAGUUGUGAAAUCGUGCGGCUUAACCGUGCAAUUGCAGUUGAUACUGCGUCGCUUGAGUGCACACAGGGAUGUUGGAAUUCAUGGUGUAGCGGUGAAAUGCUUAGAUAUCAUGAAGAACUCCGAUCGCGAAGGCAUAUGUCCGGAGUGCAACUGACGCUGAGGCUCGAAAGUGUGGGUAUCAAACAGG